UGAGGAAGGAAUGGAUUGUAAGAAGUGGGAAGUGUUUGGGAAGUGAGAGAAAGAUGGAGGAAGAUUAAAAAUCACAGAUAAAUGUGCAGGAGGAGAAAAAGAAGAGCAAUUGAUGCUUCAUCCAAAGAAAGAGGAGGGACAGAAGGUAUAGAGGAGGGAAUUAUAUGAUUGGCACUGUUUCAAUCACUGUGAUAAGGCUAGCUUGGAAAUUGUUGCUGUUAAUGUUGCUGGAUAUUGUUCAAAAGAAAUUAACUUAUUUGUCAUUGCGCAAGUAGUCACAAGAGGUGGGGACAAAUGAAGAGAAAAUUAAAUAUAUCACCACAUGUCUGCAAGACUUAUAGAGGAGGCGGAUGUAAUUGAGGUAAUACAUACUGAAGGCGUAUGCUGAUGCAGAUGUAUAUAAAUAUCAGCUACGUUGAAACUUUCAUUAAAGGCUCCCACAUAAUAUAGGAGAAAAAAGGAAAGUUGCUGCAAUAUUGCAACAGAAAAGUAACAAUUAUUGCAGUUUGAUCUUAGAAUCUCUCCACCAUCAAUCAUUCUUAUCAGAAUACAACAUGAAGCAGUAUUUCAGCAGCCAGUUAAUAAUUUUCGUCUUCUGUUGUAUUGGAGUGAUACUGUCUGGAGAAAUUUGGGAAGGGAAUCAUGAAAAUUCUGACAAGAACUUACUAUCAUUGAUCACCAGAGCAGCAGUAGCAUCACGAGACAAUGCACUUAUGGCACCACCAAGUGGAUAUCAAGGUCGAAUGCCAGCAUACUAUAUACGAACCCAGAGAGGACUCAAAAGAGAACCAAAUUGGAUAUGGAUGCCAUCCCAUGGUUAUGUUCCUGUCCCAGAGACUUCCAAUGCUAGAAGUUCUGAUAAUCGUGGAAGUACAAUUCUGAGAUAUGGUUAAAUAUGAAAUCAUCUUCGAAUAACACGAACCUUUAAGUAACUGCCAACAAUGGAUAACUCUGUAUUUCUCUUGUUUCUUACAAUGACACAUACUUUUUGGAUUUAACACAGAAAUAAAUUUACAAUAUCUUUAAA
Long non-coding RNA from Octopus bimaculoides (California two-spot octopus), 1027 nucleotides. The record is from RefSeq and is a predicted model, not a curated record. Lineage: Eukaryota; Metazoa; Mollusca; Cephalopoda; Octopoda; Octopodidae.